UGGGGAAUUGUUCGCAAUGGGCGCAAGCCUGACGACGCAACGCCGCGUGGAGGACGAAGAUCUUCGGGUCGUAAACUCCUGUCGAGCGGGACGAACACUCAUCCGGUGAAUAUCCGGAAGGGCUGACGGUACCGCUAAAGGAAGCCCCGGCUAACUCCGUGCCAGCAGCCGCGGUAAUACGGGGGGGGCAAGCGUUGUUCGGAAUUACUGGGCGUAAAGGGCUCGUAGGCGGCCAACUAAGUCCGACGUGAAAUCCCCAGGCUUAACCUGGGAACUGCGUCGGAUACUGGAUGGCUUGAAUUCGGGAGAGGGAUGCAGAAUUCCAGGUGUAGCGGUGAAAUGCGUAGAUAUCUGGAGGAAUACCGGUGGCGAAGGCGGCAUCCUGGACCGACAUUGACGCUGAGUGAGCGAAAGCUAGGGGAGCAAACGG
RNAcentral lists this ribosomal RNA (430 nucleotides) under uncultured bacterium. RNAcentral's name for it is "bacterial SSU rRNA". It matches the Rfam family "Bacterial small subunit ribosomal RNA", at positions 355 to 775 of the family's 1533-position model. The record is from RNAcentral.